This 65-nucleotide transfer RNA is filed under the name Osedax rubiplumus. RNAcentral's name for it is "tRNA-Lys". The record is from RNAcentral. Lineage: Eukaryota; Metazoa; Annelida; Polychaeta; Sabellida; Siboglinidae.
CUAUAAAAAGCUACUUACAGCGUUGGACUUUUAAUCCGAAGAAAAUAAUUUAUUAUUUUUAUAGC